GUUUACAUCAAUUUAAAAACCCCCAUUGACCCCUUUAACCAUAUUGAGAAUUUCUAUAUCAUAUAGAACCUUUUAUGCUAAAACUAGUAACAAGAGAAAACUCUCUCCCAAUGCAAACACAAGCCAGCAAGAACCCCACACUGGCAACUAACAGACAACAAAAGUAGCAACCAAACUAGAAAACCCUACUUCUCACAACCGUUAACCUAACACAAGAGCAUUUCAAGAAAGAUUAAAAGAAAAAGAAGGAACUCGGCAAAUGCUAGUCCCGCCUGUUUACCAAAAACAUCGCCUCUUGCCCAUAUAAGAGGUCAAGCCUGCCCAGUGACCCAGUUCAACGGCCGCGGUAUCCUAACCGUGCAAAGGUAGCGUAAUCACUUGUUUUCUAAAUAAAGACCAGUAUGAAAGGCAUCACGAGGACUUAACUGUCUCCUCUCUCUAAUCAGUGAACCUAAUCUCCCCGUGAAGAAGCGGGAAUAAUUAUAUAAGACGAGAAGACCCUGUGGAGCUUAAAACAUUAUAACAUCUGCCACUAACUUCCAACAUCCAGAUGCUCCUCUAAACAGCACUUUGAUUUUAUGUUUUCGGUUGGGGUGACCGCGGAGAAAAACUAAUCCUCCACGAUGAAGGGGACUUCCUCCCCAAACAGUAAGUUACAUCUUUAUGUAUUAAUAUAUUAACAUCCAUUGACCCAAUAAUUUGAUUAACGAACCAAGUUACCCCAGGGAUAACAGCGCAAUCCACUUUAAGAGCCCAUAUCGACAAGUGGGCUUACGACCUCGAUGUUGGAUCGGGGUACCCUAGUGGUGCAGUCGCUACCAAAGGUUCGUUUGUUCAACGAUUAAAACCCUAC
RNAcentral lists this ribosomal RNA (853 nucleotides) under Pristimantis cryptomelas. Its description in RNAcentral is "partial large subunit ribosomal RNA". It matches the Rfam family "Bacterial large subunit ribosomal RNA", at positions 1530 to 2599 of the family's 2925-position model. Lineage: Eukaryota; Metazoa; Chordata; Amphibia; Anura; Strabomantidae. The record is from RNAcentral.